GGUUAAGCGACUAAGCGUACACGGUGGAUGCCCUGGCAGUCAGAGGCGAUGAAGGGCGUGCUAAUCUGCGAUAAGCGCCGGUAAGGUGAUAUGAACCGUUAUAACCGGCGAUACCCGAAUGGGGAAACCCAGUGUGACUCGUCACACUAUCAUUAACUGAAUCCAUAGGUUAAUGAGGCGAACCGGGGGAACUGAAACAUCUAAGUACCCCGAGGAAAAGAAAUCAACCGAGAUUCCCCCAGUAGCGGCGAGCGAACGGGGAGGAGCCCAGAGCCUGAAUCAGCAUGUGUGUUAGUGGAAGCGUCUGGAAAGGCGCGCGAUACAGGGUGACAGCCCCGUACACAAAAGCGCAUGUGCUGUGAGCUCGAUGAGUAGGGCGGGACACGUGGUAUCCUGUCUGAAUAUGGGGGGACCAUCCUCCAAGGCUAAAUACUCCUGACUGACCGAUAGUGAACCAGUACCGUGAGGGAAAGGCGAAAAGAACCCCGGCGAGGGGAGUGAAAAAGAACCUGAAACCGUGUACGUACAAGCAGUGGGAGCACAGGUUUACCUGUGUGACUGCGUACCUUUUGUAUAAUGGGUCAGCGACUUAUAUUCUGUAGCAAGGUUAACCGAAUAGGGGAGCCGGAGGGAAACCGAGUCUUAACUGGGCGUUAAGUUGCAGGGUAUAGACCCGAAACCCGGUGAUCUAGCCAUGGGCAGGUUGAAGGUUGGGUAACACUAACUGGAGGACCGAACCGACUAAUGUUGAAAAAUUAGCGGAUGACCUGUGGCUGGGGGUGAAAGGCCAAUCAAACCGGGAGAUAGCUGGUUCUCCCCGAAAGCUAUUUAGGUAGCGCCUCGUGAACUCAUCUCCGGGGGUAGAGCACUGUUUCGGCUAGGGGGCCAUCCCGGCUUACCAACCCGAUGCAAACUGCGAAUACCGGAGAAUGUUAUCACGGGAGACACACGGCGGGUGCUAACGUCCGUCGUGAAGAGGGAAACAACCCAGACCGCCAGCUAAGGUCCCAAAGUCAUGGUUAAGUGGGAAACGAUGUGGGAAGGCCCAGACAGCCAGGAUGUUGGCUUAGAAGCAGCCAUCAUUUAAAGAAAGCGUAAUAGCUCACUGGUCGAGUCGGCCUGCGCGGAAGAUGUAACGGGGCUAAACCAUGCACCGAAGCUGCGGCAGCGACACUGUGUGUUGUUGGGUAGGGGAGCGUUCUGUAAGCCUGCGAAGGUGGCCUGUGAGGGUUGCUGGAGGUAUCAGAAGUGCGAAUGCUGACAUAAGUAACGAUAAAGCGGGUGAAAAGCCCGCUCGCCGGAAGACCAAGGGUUCCUGUCCAACGUUAAUCGGGGCAGGGUGAGUCGACCCCUAAGGCGAGGCCGAAAGGCGUAGUCGAUGGGAAACGGGUUAAUAUUCCCGUACUUGGUGUUACUGCGAAGGGGGACGGAGAAGGCUAUGUUGGCCGGGCGACGGUUGUCCCGGUUUAAGCGUGUAGGUGUGUGUUCCAGGUAAAUCCGGUUCACUUUAACACUGAGGCGUGACGACGAGGCACUACGGUGCUGAAGCAACAAAUGCCCUGCUUCCAGGAAAAGCCUCUAAGCAUCAGGUAACAUCAAAUCGUACCCCAAACCGACACAGGUGGUCAGGUAGAGAAUACCAAGGCGCUUGAGAGAACUCGGGUGAAGGAACUAGGCAAAAUGGUGCCGUAACUUCGGGAGAAGGCACGCUGACACGUAGGUGAAGUGAUUUACUCAUGGAGCUGAAGUCAGUCGAAGAUACCAGCUGGCUGCAACUGUUUAUUAAAAACACAGCACUGUGCAAACACGAAAGUGGACGUAUACGGUGUGACGCCUGCCCGGUGCCGGAAGGUUAAUUGAUGGGGUCAGCGCAAGCGAAGCUCCUGAUCGAAGCCCCGGUAAACGGCGGCCGUAACUAUAACGGUCCUAAGGUAGCGAAAUUCCUUGUCGGGUAAGUUCCGACCUGCACGAAUGGCGUAAUGAUGGCCAGGCUGUCUCCACCCGAGACUCAGUGAAAUUGAACUCGCUGUGAAGAUGCAGUGUACCCGCGGCAAGACGGAAAGACCCCGUGAACCUUUACUAUAGCUUGACACUGAACAUUGAGCCUUGAUGUGUAGGAUAGGUGGGAGGCUUUGAAGUGUGGACGCCAGUCUGCAUGGAGCCGACCUUGAAAUACCACCCUUUAAUGUUUGAUGUUCUAACGUGGACCCGUUACCCGGGUUGCGGACAGUGUCUGGUGGGUAGUUUGACUGGGGCGGUCUCCUCCUAAAGAGUAACGGAGGAGCACGAAGGUUGGCUAAUCCUGGUCGGACAUCAGGAGGUUAGUGCAAUGGCAUAAGCCAGCUUGACUGCGAGCGUGACGGCGCGAGCAGGUGCGAAAGCAGGUCAUAGUGAUCCGGUGGUUCUGAAUGGAAGGGCCAUCGCUCAACGGAUAAAAGGUACUCCGGGGAUAACAGGCUGAUACCGCCCAAGAGUUCAUAUCGACGGCGGUGUUUGGCACCUCGAUGUCGGCUCAUCACAUCCUGGGGCUGAAGUAGGUCCCAAGGGUAUGGCUGUUCGCCAUUUAAAGUGGUACGCGAGCUGGGUUUAGAACGUCGUGAGACAGUUCGGUCCCUAUCUGCCGUGGGCGCUGGAGAACUGAGGGGGCUGCUCCUAGUACGAGAGGACCGGAGUGGACGCAUCACUGGUGUUCGGGUUGUCAUGCCAAUGGCACUGCCCGGUAGCUAAAUGCGGAAGAGAUAAGUGCUGAAAGCAUCUAAGCACGAAACUUGCCCCGAGAUGAGUUCUCCCUGAGACUUAGAGUCUCCUGAAGGAACGUUGAAGACGACGACGUUGAUAGGCCGGGUGUGUAAGCGCAGCGAUGCGUUGAGCUAACCGGUACUAAUGAACCGUGAGGCUUAACCUU
RNAcentral lists this ribosomal RNA (2905 nucleotides) under Salmonella enterica subsp. enterica serovar Mbandaka. RNAcentral's name for it is "23S ribosomal RNA". It matches the Rfam family "Bacterial large subunit ribosomal RNA". The record is from RNAcentral. Lineage: Bacteria; Pseudomonadati; Pseudomonadota; Gammaproteobacteria; Enterobacterales; Enterobacteriaceae.